UUAUAAGAUCCCUCAAAGAUGAUGAGGUUAAUAGGUUCGAGGUGGAAGUACAGUAAUGUAUGGAGCUGACGAAUACUAAUCGAUCGAAGACUUAAUCAAAUU
Molecule: ribosomal RNA, 102 nt
Filed under: Macrococcoides goetzii
Lineage: Bacteria; Bacillati; Bacillota; Bacilli; Caryophanales; Staphylococcaceae
Description: Macrococcus goetzii partial 23S ribosomal RNA
Rfam family: Bacterial large subunit ribosomal RNA
Source: RNAcentral